AAGUGUAAGAUGAAAUCAACCGACACUGCAACACGUUUAAUGUGAAUACUUAAACUUUAAGUGAGAUCCCUUGCUGAAACAAGUUAGUGAGAUCUGAAAGCCAGCAAUAAACGGAUAAAAGCCGAGAUGGUAUUUGAGAAAGUGCUGAGAAUUAUUGGUAAAGAUCUUGGAUAAUAUGACAUCAGAAGGUGGAUGCUUAUAAAAAGGAAGAAUAUGACAAGAGAGUGAUAACGAGUAACUUAAAAGAUAUUAUAAAGAGUAGCAAGACUAUACUGGAUUAGAGGUUAAGAUGUUGGCAACGGAGUUAUUGGCUACUGACAUUGUGACUUAUAAGUCGGAAAGAAGAAGGGAUAGGGAAUCUCCUAUGGUAGAAUGUGAGAAAAUUGAAUGGUAAGUAAAGGAAGGGAAGGAGUAUGACAAAAGAGGCAGCAAGUGAGUUUUAGUACAAUAAGAUGUAUAAAGCAGAAUAAGCCAGGAGAAGGAAAGACUAUGACUAAGAUUCGAUGCACUUUAUACAAGUUGCACAAGAAUAGUUAUGCAACCUACGAAUGUUCGUAUGCUAAUAAUGAGACCAAGUGAGUACUUGAUAAGAAGAGUAAGGAUUCAGUAAUAACAAUACGGUUGUGAUAUUUUGGGUACAUUAAUGAAAGGGGUAAGAUGGUUUGAGCCAAUUACCGAGAUAGAAUUAGUAGUGAGGGCAAAUAGGACAUGGCCAUAGUUGAGCCCCGAUACCGAUUGAAAGAUACAAAAGGAGAAUGCAAAGUAAAGCAUAAAGACUAGUGAAGCGACGCUAAGGUAUUUGAGUACCUUCGCAUAUUCUUGUAAAGAUUGCAACAUAAUGUGUGACAGAAAAACUAAGAGCAAAAUCUGAGUAAAGAGGCAAUAGAAGAGUUUGAAUUAAAAAUAAGGAAACGACACGAGAUAAUGUGCCCAAAGUGUUACAAGUUGAGUUAAGGGAAAUUGUGAAAUGGUUUAAGCGAGACGAUUAGAACGAGCUGGUUACUAGAAGACAGUGAAUUUAUAUGUCAAAAAAAAAUCAGAAUUAUACCAGUUAAUGAUAGAAGAGCACAGAGCAGCUAUGUAAGGUUAUUAUAUGAGGAAACUCCAGCGCUACUUGAUAGCCAACUCUAAAGAUUGAGAUUAAGAGCUAAAAAGUAGAGUGACAGUUAAAGUCUUUUAAAGAAUUCGAGAAGUGAUACAUGAGGCUGAAGAUUCAAGAAUAUAGACUGGAAUAGCAGAGCAAUGUAAGAUUAUUGAAGUAAAAUAAUGUUACACCUUGGAAAAUUUCGUUUUAUUCGUAGAGUCUGCGAAGGGUCUACAGGUUACCAGAGGCAUGAAAUACUCCAAAGAUUGUAAAGUCUAAUGAAUUAACGAGGGAUAGCGCGUUAUAAAAUCUUAUGUAAAGAUUGAGAGGUAAGAUGAAGUGAACGAUACAUCUCAAGGAAGAAACUUAUAGAAGAAGAAAGAGUCAAGUUAUGAUUAUGUGCACCAGAGAGAGAGAGUAAGAUUUCAGCAGAAGAGCUCGCAAUACAACUGUCAACCAACUGCGAAAUAAAGAGGAGAGUAAAGACAACGACAUGGAAUUAUUACCUCGAGGGUCAAGAGCAAGAGGAAAUACUACGGGAACGGUUACUUAGAGAUCUAGAAUGCGUUAUAAUAAAUUGAAGGGAAUCGACCAACGAAAGAGGCAUGUGAAGGGCAUAAUUCAAUAAAAGAACACUUGAGGAAGUAUUGGAAGUGCAGGACUAGUUUAACAUUCGAGGACGAAUGUUCUAGAGGGGGGGAAGGAUGUUACAUCCCGUGUUCUCAUGCGUUGGAAAGUGUGCGAGUUGAAUGAUAUUAGUAACGGACACGAGGUUAUCCCCCAAGCUUAUAGGUGGUUAAAGUGAUGGUACACAUGUAUCGUAAGGAUUUGAAGUUAAACCAAUCGAAGAAAAUAAGUUUUGUCGAGGUUCGAAAUUUAUUUGAUGAAAUACGGUCCAAGCUAUAAUAUCUAGUAAUUUUGGACUAAGAAAUUGAACCGUCCAACAUGAGCAAAUUUACCUGAGCUUGGAGAAUUUGGUCAUAUUCAAGCAUGCAAAUUAAGAGCUCGGUGUAUAAAAGGAUGAAGUCCCGAAAUGAUUUUAGGACUUAAAAAGUAUGACGACGAUGAUUGAAAAUAAUAUUUUGUGUAGCAAAUGAGGCUAGUACUAUACCACAUGAGUAUAAUAAUGAGUAUAUAAGUACUAUUUAAGUGAAUGAGAUCAAGAAAUUAAUUGUGUGUGUAAGGAUAAAUUUUGGCGUGUAGAGAAUAAGAUAAUUAAUGGAGAAAUAUUUGGAAUAUAUUCCACGUGCAAUCAUCCACGUGCCAUGAUGUAAAAUAAAGCACCAAAUGACCAUGCAUUAAGAUGCACAGGUGGCAUCUUUAAAAUGAUAGCAUUUAUGAUGGGUGAAUUAUAUAUGCAUUGACCCCAUGGUUUUUAAUAAAGGAAAUGGCAGCAAAAUUCCUACGGAUAUGAGGCAAUAUGGCCACCUUUCAUUGAAAGUAAAAACAUCAUUAUAUUAGCAAGCAUUUCACGUUAGCCUAUCCUUUUACACACUUGAUGAACAUCAUUAUAUUAGCAAGCAGCAAGCAUUUCACGUUUUGGAAAGAUUAGCAACGUUAACGCUGUUGUGUUUUAUUUAUUUCAAGGAAGAAUAAUGUAAUCUUUCUCAAGAACAACGUACGGAUUUUGCUUUAUAUUUAGAUCCCGUUGUUCCGUUCUGUCGUGUUGUCGAAUUCGGGCUUUCUUCAAAGCGAAGUAAGGUGGAAAAAGAAUAGUUCUUCGCAUAUAAGGUUUAUCAUAUUAAUUGUGGAAGUUCUUGGCUAGACUGAGCUCUUGAACGACGUAAGGUACAGAUAGUCGGUUUGGUGACCCUUCAGCAUAGGACUUCUACUCAGCUGUUUUGGAGAGCUCCGUUGUUCCGGAGUCUAGACUUUUGGUACAGAUCUUAUGAUAUAUAUGUAUAUGUUUAACCAGGGGUACGGUGGGGCCUUGUCCCGUCAUAUUUCGCUAUCGAUACUCUUAGAGGUCUGUAGACAUAUGUGUGGGUUGUGUAUAAGUUCUGUUCAGCUGUGUCUAAACGAUGUGCGAUGGAUAUGUUCGUCUGUGAUGGCAGCCUUGUCGGCUUGCAUAUGAUAUGAUAUUGAUGUAUAGUGGCAGCCUUGUCGGCUUGCGUAUCAUUUUAUGAUUUGAUUAGUUGUGACUCCUCAGGAGACAGUUUA
Long non-coding RNA from Lycium barbarum (goji berry), 3244 nucleotides. RefSeq lists it as uncharacterized. NCBI's taxonomy places the organism in Eukaryota, Viridiplantae, Streptophyta, Magnoliopsida, Solanales, Solanaceae. The transcript has 3 exons. The record is from RefSeq and is a predicted model, not a curated record.